RNAcentral lists this ribosomal RNA (254 nucleotides) under uncultured bacterium. RNAcentral's name for it is "partial 16S ribosomal RNA". It matches the Rfam family "Bacterial small subunit ribosomal RNA", at positions 524 to 776 of the family's 1533-position model. The record is from RNAcentral.
UACGUAGGGUGCGAGCGUUGUCCGGAAUUAUUGGGCGUAAAGAGCUCGUAGGCGGUGUGUCGCGUCGGCCGUGAAAACCUGGGGCUCAACUCUGGGCGUGCGGUCGAUACGGGCAUCACUUGAGUUCGGCAGGGGAGACUGGAAUUCCUGGUGUAGCGGUGAAAUGCGCAGAUACCAGGAGGAACACCGGUGGCGAAGGCGGGUCUCUGGGCCGAUACUGACGCUGAGGAGCGAAAGCAUGGGUAGCGAACAGG